This 521-nucleotide long non-coding RNA is filed under the name Piliocolobus tephrosceles (Ugandan red Colobus). RNAcentral describes it as "lncRNA (ENSPTEG00000000594.1)". The record is from RNAcentral. Lineage: Eukaryota; Metazoa; Chordata; Mammalia; Primates; Cercopithecidae.
GCCUCCCGAGUAGCUGGGAUUACAGGUGCAUGCCACCACACCCAGCUAAUUUUUGUAUUUUUAGUAGAGACGGGGUUUCACCAUGUUAGCCAAACUGGUCUCGAACUUCUGGCCUCAGUUGAUUCCCCACCUCAGUUUUUCCAGUUUAUAUUCCCACCAGCAGGGUACAAGGAUUCCUAUUUCCCUACUUCCUCAUUAAUUAAGAGGGUGACGCUCUUUCCGUUGUUUUUUAUAGAUCUGCAUGGAACAAUGCGGCUUCUCUGCAUGACUGGAGUUUGUUUUGUCUUUGAAGAUAAUCUCACUAGGAUCAAGACUGUGAAGAGGUGCCUCCAACAAGAAAAACCAAUGUCUAGCAAGUCCUCUAAGGGCAGGGAUUCUGGAGAGGUCGCCCUGUCCUCAGCUUGGCCCUGGCACAUUCUGGCUGCAGAAAAUGGGCCUGCUGCUCUAAGAGGUUGGACUCAAGGAGUCCUCUAGCACAGGGGCCAUGAAAAUAAAUGACUUCCUUGUUUGCUGAUGGAGCA